Molecule: long non-coding RNA, 213 nt
Organism: Toxotes jaculatrix (banded archerfish)
Lineage: Eukaryota; Metazoa; Chordata; Actinopteri; Toxotidae
Exons: 3
Source: RefSeq, a predicted model, not a curated record
CAGGCCACACGGGAAGCUCUACUCCCCUCACCAUCUCCCUCGCUUCCACCACUGCACAGAACACGGCCAUCGCUUGGAGGGCCGCCACUCCGGCUCACACAGUCCCUCUCACUCACACCCAACCUCCUCCUCCUCCAGAGAGCACCGGCCUGAGAGGAAGGACAAGGAAUCAUCAGGGGGUUCCUCUGGCAUCGGUGGGAAGCGUCCACACCA